Molecule: small nucleolar RNA, 117 nt
Filed under: Dasypus novemcinctus (nine-banded armadillo)
Lineage: Eukaryota; Metazoa; Chordata; Mammalia; Cingulata; Dasypodidae
Description: Small nucleolar RNA SNORA70 (ENSDNOG00000031358.1)
Rfam family: Small nucleolar RNA SNORA70
About the family: snoRNA U70 seems to be exclusive to mammals and is a member of the H/ACA class of snoRNA which contain H (ANANNA) and ACA box motifs. H/ACA box snoRNAs are involved in the conversion of uridines to pseudouridines (5-ribosyluracil) a constituent of structural RNAs (transfer, ribosomal, small nuclear, and small nucleolar).
Source: RNAcentral
CUGCAGCCAAUUAAGUCAACUAGCAUUCUUUCCCCAUGGGGACCCAGAAGAUAGUAGAUGGUAGUGUACACAGCUUAUUGGUUCUAUGGGUUGCCCUACGGGACCUUGGAGACAGAC